This 90-nucleotide non-coding RNA is filed under the name Pseudomonas jessenii. Lineage: Bacteria; Pseudomonadati; Pseudomonadota; Gammaproteobacteria; Pseudomonadales; Pseudomonadaceae. The record is from RNAcentral.
UGUGGGAGCUGGCUUGCCAGCGAUUGCGUCGGCACGUCCAAUAUUGAGGAUGACUGAUCCACCGCUAUCGCUGGCAAGCCAGCUCCCACA